UGGGGAAUCUUGGACAAUGGGGGCAACCCUGAUCCAGCCAUGCCGCGUGAGUGAUGAAGGCCUUAGGGUCGUAAAGCUCUUUCGCCUGUGAAGAUAAUGACGGUAGCAGGUAAAGAAACCCCGGCUAACUCCGUGCCAGCAGCCGCGGUAAUACGGAGGGGGUUAGCGUUGUUCGGAAUUACUGGGCGUAAAGCGCACGUAGGCGGACCAGAAAGUUGGGGGUGAAAUCCCGGGGGCUCAACCCCGGAACUGCCUCCAAAACUAUUGGUCUAGAGUUCGAGAGAGGUGAGUGGAAUUCCAAGUGUAGAGGUGAAAUUCGUAGAUAUUUGGAGGAACACCAGUGGCGAAGGCGGCUCACUGGCUCGAUACUGACGCUGAGGUGCGAAAGUGUGGGGAGCAAACAGGAUUAGAUACCCUGGUAGUCCACACCGUAAAACGAUGAAUGCCAGUCGUCGGGUAGCAUGCUAUUCGGUGACACACCUAACGGAUUAAGCAUUCCGCCUGGGGAGUACGGUCGCAAGAUUAAAACCUCAAA
RNAcentral lists this ribosomal RNA (535 nucleotides) under uncultured bacterium. RNAcentral's name for it is "bacterial SSU rRNA". It matches the Rfam family "Bacterial small subunit ribosomal RNA", at positions 355 to 905 of the family's 1533-position model. The record is from RNAcentral.